AAUUUAAAAAUUAGAAAAAGAGACACCCUAGACUUGCUUCACUCAUGAAGCACCCCCCUGCAGGUGGGGAGCGGGGACUUGAACCCAGACAGACCUUUGUGCGUGGUGUCUACCACCUGGCCCCCAAGAGAUUUCUGACUCGCAUGAUGAGUUAGAAUUUUUCAACAAAUGGAGACUAUAGAACAGGAGGGUCACCAAGAGAAUGGCUGUUUAAAGAAUUUCUCUGACAGACUAAUCGCAGCUGAAGACUGAUGAGCUUGAUAGUGGUCGGGUGAGGCCACACACAGCGAGAUACGGGGAGAGGGGACGACAGUGACAGGUGCUGGUGCACACGUCACAGUGCACAAGGAUCCGGGUUCGAGCACCAGGCCCCCACCUGCAGGUGGGACGCUUCACGAGCAGUGAGGCAGGGCUACAGGCCAAGUCUGCAUUUCUUGCUGGCAAGAGGGACAGUGACACGGCAAUGUUGUAACGGAGAGGCCUCCUGCCUUCUUGGGACAACCCGAGAUUUGGGGUAACUCACAAGGGGUUUAGCCGCUUUGCUGCAUCUCUAGACUCCUAGAAGCUGCCCAGCGCAGGCCACGCUGCCCACGCCCACAGCAGCCACCUUCUCGUUUGCCUUCUCUGUGCGCGGCUGGAAGGUAACUCUGAGCUCUGGGACUCUGUCAGGGGCUGCGGCCGUUCUGAUGUCCCUUGUCCAGGGUGCCCUCUAUCCCCACGUCUCCACCCUGGCUGCUUCUUCUCCGUGAGAUGUCACCACGGCACCCCUGGGGUCGGCAGCGUGUUCUCAGAAAGCCCACCCGACUGACACAUCAGCACUGACAUUCACAGUUCAGCGUCGCGGGACAGAGCCCGCCACGCUGUCCCCACUGGCGCUCAGGACUAAAACUGGCCGCCCCUUGGGGACACGGCUUGUCUCGGACGCUGGUGGGGAGGGCAUCUCGUGACGGGCUGGUCUCCAGAGUACUCUGGGGACAGAGAAACUCAUUCUGCUGCGGUCUCCAAGUUUUAGUUUAUUUUAAUCUUUUAAAGUUAUUUACUGGGUAGAGACAGAAGUCAAGAGAAGGGGGUGACAGAGACAGAGAGAUACCUGCAACACUGCUUCACCACUUGCAAAGCUUUCCCCCUGUAGGUGGGGUGUGGGGACUUGAACCCAGGUCCUUGAGCAUGGUAACGUGUUCAACCAGGUGCGCCACCACCCGGCCCCCAAACAGGUCAAGUUGUGACAGCUCAGCCGCCUGUCAUAGAAAAAAUGACGGGGGGCCAGCUGGGACUGCUGUGUGUGUCCCCCAUGGGGUGUCUGUCCCUCCUGGACCUGAACCUGGCACCCUGCCCCUCCCCCGGGGUCCCCGGUGCUCCUGUGGAACUUUCUCAGCUCCUGUCCCUCCAGAGUGGGGAGGUGGGCACCCCUACGGCAAAGCUCCCAGCGCUUUCAGAGAACUGCCCAAUCGCUGGCAGCCAGUCGUUUCCAAGAACAAGACAGAAGAUUCCACAGACGAAUAAUUAUGAAACAGAGACACGGCUGCCUCCGUCUGGACUUGAAACGAGCCGGUGACCUAGUUACAUCAGUGGCUUCCUCCCCUCUCUGCACGGCCCGUGGGGUGCUGGGGAUGGGACUGUGGU
Long non-coding RNA from Erinaceus europaeus (western European hedgehog), 1623 nucleotides. RefSeq lists it as uncharacterized. The transcript has 3 exons. NCBI's taxonomy places the organism in Eukaryota, Metazoa, Chordata, Mammalia, Eulipotyphla, Erinaceidae. The record is from RefSeq and is a predicted model, not a curated record.